RNAcentral lists this ribosomal RNA (253 nucleotides) under uncultured bacterium. RNAcentral describes it as "partial 16S ribosomal RNA". It matches the Rfam family "Bacterial small subunit ribosomal RNA", at positions 524 to 776 of the family's 1533-position model. The record is from RNAcentral.
UACGAAGGGGGCUAGCGUUGCUCGGAAUUACUGGGCGUAAAGGGUGUGUAGGCGGAUACUUAAGUCGGGGGUGAAAGCCCAGGGCUCAACCCUGGAAUAGCCUUCGAUACUGGGUAUCUUGAGUUCGGGAGAGGUAAGUGGAACUCCGAGUGUAGAGGUGAAAUGCGCAGAUAUCGGGAGGAACACCAGUGGCGAAGGCGGCGCUCUGGGCCGGAACUGACGCUGAGGAGCGAAAGCGUGGGUAGCAAACAGG